AUAAGCAAAAUAAGGGCGUAUGGGGGAUGCCUUGGCUCUCAGAGGCGAUGAAAGGCGUGAUAAGCUGCGAAAAGCUGCGGGGACGGGCACACACCGAUUGAUCCGCAGAUACCUGAAUGGGGCAACCCACUAUGUUGAAGACAUAGUACACCGAUAGGUGGGCAAACCCGCUGAACUGAAACAUCUAAGUAGGCGGAGGAGAAGAAAACAAAAGUGAUUCCGUAAGUAGUGGCGAGCGAACGCGGAUUAGCCCAAACCAGUGCUGUUACGGCAGUGCUGGGGUUGUAGGACCACGACAUUUUAUGCACAAGGAACCGGAAUUGGCUGGAAAGUCAAACCAUAGAGGGUGAUAGUCCCGUAUGGGUAACAAGUGUAAUGGAUAGUGGUAUCCUGAGUAGGGCGGGGCACGUGAAACCCUGUCUGAAUUUGGCGGGACCAUCCGCUAAGGCUAAAUACUCCUGAGAGACCGAUAGUGAACCAGUACCGUGAGGGAAAGGUGAAAAGAACCGUGAAUAACGGAGUGAAAUAGAUCCUGAAACCAUACGCUUACAAGCGGUCGGAGCCCUUUCGUGGGGUGACGGCGUGCCUUUUGCAUAAUGAGCCUACGAGUUAACGUUGCUGGCAAGGUUAAGUGGUUAAGCCACGGAUCCGUAGCGAAAGCGAGUCUGAAUAGGGCGCUUUAGUCAGUAGUGUUAGACGCGAAACCGUGUGAUCUACCCAUGGGCAGGAUGAAGCGCUGGUAACACAGUGUGGAGGUCCGAACCGGUUGACGUUGAAAAGUCUUCGGAUGACCUGUGGGUAGGGGUGAAAGGCCAAUCAAACUCGGAAAUAGCUCGUACUCCCCGAAAUGCAUUUAGGUGCAGCGCUGAAUUAAGUUAUAUAGAGGUAGAGCUACUGAUUGGAUGCGGGGGCUUCACCGCCUACCAAUUCCUGACAAACUCCGAAUGCUAUAUAAUGUUUCUCAGCAGUGAGGGCUUGGGUGCUAAGGUCCAAGUCCGAGAGGGAAAGAACCCAGACCAUCAGCUAAGGUCCCCAAAUAUACACUAAGUUGAAAGAACGAGGUUUGUCUGCCCAGACAGCUAGGAUGUUGGCUUGGAAGCAGCCAUUCAUUUAAAGAGUGCGUAACAGCUCACUAGUCGAGCGGACGAGCAUGGAUAAUAAUCGGGCAUAAGUGUAUUACCGAAGCUAUGGAUUUACAAGCAAUUGUAAGUGGUAGGGGAGCAUUCCAGCAGGGUUGAAGGUGUAUCGUAAGGUAUGCUGGACUGGCUGGAAAAGAAAAUGUAGGCAUAAGUAACGAUAAUGCGGGCGAGAAACCCGCACACCGAAAAACUAAGGUUUCCACAGCUAUGCUAAUCAGCUGUGGGUUAGUCUGGUCCUAAGGCGAACCCGAAAGGGACAGUCGAUGGCCAACGGGUUAAUAUUCCCGUACUACUAAUUACUGUGAUGGGGUGACGGAGUGAUGAAAGCGCCGCGAACUGACGGAAUAGUUCGUUGAAGUACCUACCUAUAAGAUCUGCAGGCAAAUCCACAGAUUUUGGGGAAAUACGAUAGUACUCGGAGUCUUCGGACAAAGAGAUAGUGCGCCUAAGGGCUUCCAAGAAAAACCUCUAAACUUCAGGUAAUUAGUACCAGUACCGUAAACCGACACAGGUAGUUGAGGAGAGAAUCCUAAGGUGCUCGAGAGAUUCAUGGCUAAGGAAUUAGGCAAAAUAGACCUGUAACUUCGGGAGAAAGGUCGCCAGCGCAAGCUGGCCGCAGUGAAGAGGUCCAGGCGACUGUUUAUCAAAAACACAGGGCUCUGCAAAAUCGUAAGAUGAAGUAUAGGGCCUGACACCUGCCCGGUGCUGGAAGGUUAAGAGGAGAUGUUAUCUUCGGAGAAGCAUUGAAUUGAAGCCCCAGUAAACGGCGGCCGUAACAAUAACGGUCCUAAGGUAGCGAAAUUCCUUGUCGGGUUGUCGGGUAAGUUCCGACCUGCACGAAUGGUGUAACGAUCUGGACACUGUCUCAGCCAUGAGCUCGGUGAAAUUGUAGUAACGGUGAAGAUGCCGUUUACCCGCAGUGGGACGAAAAGACCCUGUGCACCUUUACUAUAGCUUAGUAUUGACCUUGGAUAAAUGAUGUGUAGGAUAGGUUGGAGACUAUGAAGCGGC
RNAcentral lists this ribosomal RNA (2150 nucleotides) under Triticum turgidum subsp. durum (durum wheat). Its description in RNAcentral is "bacterial LSU rRNA". It matches the Rfam family "Bacterial large subunit ribosomal RNA", at positions 1 to 2166 of the family's 2925-position model. The record is from RNAcentral. Lineage: Eukaryota; Viridiplantae; Streptophyta; Magnoliopsida; Poales; Poaceae.